GCAGUCGCCACGGUAAUACAGAGGGUGCGAGCGUUAAUCGGAUUUACUGGGCGUAAAGCGUGCGCAGGCGGUUAUAUAAGACAGAUGUGAAAUCCCCGGGCUCAACCUGGGAACUGCAUUUGUGACUGUAUAGCUAGAGUACGGCAGAGGGGGAUGGAAUUCCGCGUGUAGCAGUGAAAUGCGUAGAUAUGCGGAGGAACACCGAUGGCGAAGGCAAUCCCCUGGGCCUGUACUGACGCUCAUGCACGAAAGCGUGGGGAGCAAACAGGAUUAGAUACCCCUGUAGUCCCUGUCUCUUAUAC
Molecule: ribosomal RNA, 302 nt
Filed under: uncultured bacterium
Lineage: Bacteria
Description: partial 16S ribosomal RNA
Rfam family: Bacterial small subunit ribosomal RNA
Source: RNAcentral